This is a long non-coding RNA of Panicum virgatum (switchgrass), 866 nucleotides long. RefSeq lists it as uncharacterized. The record is from RefSeq and is a predicted model, not a curated record. The transcript is spliced from 2 exons. Lineage: Eukaryota; Viridiplantae; Streptophyta; Magnoliopsida; Poales; Poaceae.
CCUGCCUGGCCCCACGUGGAACGGGCUCCCAACGCGCGGAGGCGAAACCCGCGGCGCCGGAGGAAGGGAGCGGAGAGCACGCGCUGAUGACUGUUGCGCUGUCUCGUUGGAUCGCGCGGGUCCCGCCCCGACCCGAGUGUCCUGACUCGUGACGUCGUCCCUCCCACCGUCGGAAUACAGGUACCGUAUCUUGGAGAUAGAUUCCCACGCCUCACCCACACCCGUCGGCAGCUAUGGCGAUGAUGCCGGUUCCGUCGUCAUCUCCGGUGCUACCUUUUGGUGGAUUUUGUUUCCUCUCCUCUUCCCUGGAUGUGGUGACAGCGUUCGUGUUGGCGGAGCAUCCGCGCGAAGACCCAAGGAUGAGGUCAGUGGUCUUCCUAUUUGCGUUGGGGAAGGUUCCUCUGUGCUCCCCCGUGGGCUUCUUCUUCCGGGUCGGCGACCUUGUUGCCGGUGCCGGAUCUUCUGCUGGGCCAUGGCUUCCACCUGGAAGUUGCUUCACCUCUGGUAGUCUGUGGCGGGAUCUACUGGAGGGUUGGAUUUCUUCUGCUUUGUUUGCAAGAUCGCCGAUUCGCGUUCAGCAUUUUAGAUCCAUCUUGGCGGGAGCUCCGGGGUGGUGGAUUUUGCGGCUUCAUCAAGGUUUGAGGUCUUCUGAUUGAGCAGUCGAAGUUCUUGGUGUUCGGGAUGUUCAACCGGGCGGGACGGUGCAAACGAGGAAGAAGAACAGUAGUCUUAGGGCCUGCUGUGUAAUUUCUCCUUUCUGCAAGGGUCUGGUUGUAAAAGGGGGGGGACGUACUGUGCUCCUGUUUAAUAUAUCUUCCCUUUUCGCAAAAAAAAAGUAGUACCCAUAGCAAAAAAAAAUUGAGAAA